CUACACAGCCAUGCCACCCUGAACAAGCCUGAUCCCAUCUGAUCACCAAAGUUAAGCAGGGCUGGGCCUGGUUAGUACUUGGAUGGGAGAUCACCUAGGAAGGCCAGGUGUUAUAGUGU
This 119-nucleotide ribosomal RNA is filed under the name Pteropus alecto (black flying fox). The record is from RNAcentral. Lineage: Eukaryota; Metazoa; Chordata; Mammalia; Chiroptera; Pteropodidae.